Molecule: ribosomal RNA, 497 nt
Filed under: uncultured bacterium
Lineage: Bacteria
Description: partial 16S ribosomal RNA
Rfam family: Bacterial small subunit ribosomal RNA
Source: RNAcentral
GAUGAACGCUGGCGGCGUGCCUAAUACAUGCAAGUCGAGCGAACAGACGAGAAGCUUGCUCCUCUGACGUUAGCGGCGGACGGGUGAGUAACACGUGGAUAACCUACCUAUAAGACUGGGAUAACUUCGGGAAACCGGAGCUAAUACCGGAUAAUAUAUUGAACCGCAUGGUUCAAUAGUGAAAGACGGUCUUGCUGUCACUUAUAGAUGGAUCCGCGCCGCAUUAGCUAGUUGGUAAGGUAACGGCUUACCAAGGCGACGAUGCGUAGCCGACCUGAGAGGGUGAUCGGCCACACUGGAACUGAGACACGGUCCAGACUCCUACGGGAGGCAGCAGUAGGGAAUCUUCCGCAAUGGGCGAAAGCCUGACGGAGCAACGCCGCGUGAGUGAUGAAGGUCUUCGGAUCGUAAAACUCUGUUAUUAGGGAAGAACAAAUGUGUAAGUAACUAUGCACGUCUUGACGGUACCUAAUCAGAAAGCCACGGCUAACUACGUG